AGAUUGAACGCUGGCGGCAGGCCUAACACAUGCAAGUCGAGCGGUAGAGAGGUGCUUGCAUCUCUUGAGAGCGGCGGACGGGUGAGUAAUGCCUAGGAAUCUGCCUAGUGGUGGGGGAUAACGUUCGGAAACGGACGCUAAUACCGCAUACGUCCUACGGGAGAAAGCGGGGGACCUUCGGGCCUCGCGCCAUUAGAUGAGCCUAGGUCGGAUUAGCUAGUUGGUGAGGUAAUGGCUCACCAAGGCGACGACUCCGUAACUGGUC
RNAcentral lists this ribosomal RNA (265 nucleotides) under uncultured soil bacterium. RNAcentral's name for it is "partial 16S ribosomal RNA". It matches the Rfam family "Bacterial small subunit ribosomal RNA", at positions 26 to 292 of the family's 1533-position model. The record is from RNAcentral.